UACGGAGGGGGCUAGCGUUGUUCGGAAUUACUGGGCGUCAAGCGCACGUAGGCGGCUUUGCAAGUUAGAGGUGAAAGCCCGGGGCUCAACUCCGGAAUUGCCUUUAAAACUGCAUCGCUAGAAUUGUGGAGAGGUAAGUGGAAUUCCGAGUGUAGAGGUGAAAUUCGUAGAUAUUCGGAAGAACACCAGUGGCGAAGGCGACUUACUGGACACAUAUUGACGCUGAGGUGCGAAAGCGUGGGGAGCAAACAGG
Molecule: ribosomal RNA, 253 nt
Filed under: uncultured bacterium
Lineage: Bacteria
Description: partial 16S ribosomal RNA
Rfam family: Bacterial small subunit ribosomal RNA
Source: RNAcentral